CUCUUAUAUACUAGUAUUAUAUUUGGGCUUAAAGAAUGAUACCUCUAAUUUAAUCAAUAGGCCCAAUAAGACCUAAUAUUUAAAUAUCUCUAAUUAGUUCAAUUAAAUUAAACUAACACAAUAUGCACCCCAAGUUAAUUAAUUCAAUUAUUCAUUAUAUCUCAUAUCAACUAAAUAAUUAAUUAACACACCAAAUUAAUUAAUAUAAUCGAUUAUUAUACUACCUAACAACCAAUUAAUUAAUUAACACUCUAAAAAAUUCAAUUAUUCAUUAUAUCUCAUAUCAACUAAAUAAUUAAUUAACACACCAAAUUAAUUAAUAUAAUCGAUUAUUAUACUACCUAACAACCAAUUAAUUAAUUAACACUCUAAAUAAAU
This 378-nucleotide long non-coding RNA is filed under the name Lathyrus oleraceus (garden pea). RNAcentral describes it as "Pisum sativum (pea) long non-coding RNA (PSAT_LNC033474)". Lineage: Eukaryota; Viridiplantae; Streptophyta; Magnoliopsida; Fabales; Fabaceae. The record is from RNAcentral.